GUUCUGAUGAAGAGUCCCAAACUAGGACGAAACGGCUGUCCAGUAC
RNAcentral lists this non-coding RNA (46 nucleotides) under Trichobilharzia regenti. Lineage: Eukaryota; Metazoa; Platyhelminthes; Trematoda; Strigeidida; Schistosomatidae. The record is from RNAcentral.